Molecule: ribosomal RNA, 253 nt
Filed under: uncultured bacterium
Lineage: Bacteria
Description: partial 16S ribosomal RNA
Rfam family: Bacterial small subunit ribosomal RNA
Source: RNAcentral
UACGAAGGGGGCUAGCGUUGUUCGGAAUCACUGGGCGUAAAGGGCGCGUAGGCGGCUGUUCAAGUCGGGGGUGAAAGCCUGCGGCUCAACCACAGAAUUGCCUUCGAUACUGGACGGCUGGAGACCGGAAGAGGUCAGUGGAACUGCGAGUGUAGAGGUGAAAUUCGUAGAUAUUCGCAAGAACACCAGUGGCGAAGGCGGCUGACUGGUCCGGUUCUGACGCUGAGGCGCGAAAGCGUGGGGAGCAAACAGG